Molecule: ribosomal RNA, 423 nt
Filed under: uncultured bacterium
Lineage: Bacteria
Description: bacterial SSU rRNA
Rfam family: Bacterial small subunit ribosomal RNA
Source: RNAcentral
GGGGAAUCUUGCGCAAUGGGGGAAACCCUGACGCAGCGACGCCGCGUGAGCGAUGAAGGCCUUCGGGUUGUAAAGCUCUGUGGCUGGAGACGAAGAAGUAUAGAUUAACACUCUAUGCGGUGACGGUAUCCAUUUAGCAAGAACAGGCUAACUCUGUGCCAGCAGCCGCGGUAAGACAGAGGGUGCAAACGUUGUUCGGAAUUACUGGGCGUAAAGCGCGUGUAGGCGGCUUUGCAAGUCGGAUGUGAAAUCCCGCGGCUCAACCGUGGAAGUGCACCCGAAACUGCAUCGCUAGAGUAUCGGAGAGGAAAGUGGAAUGCUUGGUGUAGAGGUGAAAUUCGUAGAUAUCAAGCGGAACACCGGUGGCGAAGGCGGCUUUCUGGACGAUUACUGACGCUGAGACGCGAAAGCGUGGGUAGCAAA